RNAcentral lists this ribosomal RNA (403 nucleotides) under uncultured bacterium. Its description in RNAcentral is "bacterial SSU rRNA". It matches the Rfam family "Bacterial small subunit ribosomal RNA", at positions 355 to 775 of the family's 1533-position model. The record is from RNAcentral.
UAGGGAAUAUUAGUAAUGGGCGCAAGCCUGAACUAGCAACGCCGCGUGUGCGAAGAAGGCCUUCGGGUUGUAAAGCACUUUUUGAGAGGAUGAGGAAGGACGGUACUCUCAGAAUAAGUCUCGGCUAACUACGUGCCAGCAGCCGCGGUAACACGUAGGAGGCAAACGUUAUCCGGAUUUACUGGGCGUAAAGCGCGUGUAGGUGGUUUGGUAAGUAGGGCGUGAAAGCUCCUGGCUCAACUGGGAGAGGCCGUUCUAAACUGCCGAACUAGAGGAUGGUAGAGGGAGGUGGAAUUCCGGGUAUAGCGGUGGAAUGCGCAGAUAUCCGGAGGAACACCAGUGGCGAAAGCGGCCUCCUGGACCAUUCCCGACACUCAGACGCGAAAGCUAGGGUAGCAAACGG